ACAUUUGUAGUAUAAAUAAUACGUUAAAUUUAGAAUUUAAAAAUAAAAAAUGUU
RNAcentral lists this transfer RNA (54 nucleotides) under Haemonchus placei. Its description in RNAcentral is "tRNA-Leu1". Lineage: Eukaryota; Metazoa; Nematoda; Chromadorea; Rhabditida; Trichostrongylidae. The record is from RNAcentral.